CCUAUGGGAGGCAGCAGUGGGGGAUAUUGCACAAUGGGGGAAACCCUGAUGCAGCGACGCCGCGUGUGGGAAGACGGUCCUCUGGAUUGUAAACCACUGUCCUCAGGGACGAAGAUGACGGUACCUGGGGAGGAAGCUCCGGCUAACUACGUGCCGGCAGCCUCGCUAAUACGUAGGGAGCGAGCGUUUUCCGGAAUUCCUGGGUGUAAGGGGAGCGUAGGCGGUACUGCAGGUCGGGUGUCAAGUCUACCGGCUCAACCGGUAGCCGCACUCAAAACUGCAGUUCUUGAGUGAAGUAGAGGCAGGCGGAAUUCCUAGUGUAGCGGUGAAAUGCGUAGAUAUUAGGAGGAACACCAGUGGCGAAGGCGGCCUGCUGGGCUUUUACUGACGCUGAGGCUCGAAAGUGUGGGGAGCAAACAGGAUUAGAUACCCUUGUAGUC
Molecule: ribosomal RNA, 440 nt
Filed under: uncultured bacterium
Lineage: Bacteria
Description: partial 16S ribosomal RNA
Rfam family: Bacterial small subunit ribosomal RNA
Source: RNAcentral